Molecule: long non-coding RNA, 295 nt
Organism: Sebastes umbrosus (honeycomb rockfish)
Lineage: Eukaryota; Metazoa; Chordata; Actinopteri; Perciformes; Sebastidae
Exons: 2
Source: RefSeq, a predicted model, not a curated record
AAUCAAUCAAAUAUUACCUGUAAGAGCCAAAACAUGAUGCUGACAUACUGAGGUUGGGAUGUAAUUCACUUUUACGAACACUAGGUGGCACUGUAUUAAUUGAUUGACCCAGCCACGGGUAUAUAGGUAAGGAGGUGUGUUGUUGGCGUCAGGGUUUAGCCCGGAAGGGCAAAUGGUUUUUGACCGCAGGGACGCUGAAUUGUUUGCCGUGUUAUUAUCGUGUACUCGUUGCUAUGGUAACUGGACUUGCUUCCUUAAUACCAUAUUAGGAAUAAAUGAACUAUUAUUGUAAAAC